ACGCUCGACACCUACGGGGCAGCAGUGAGGAAUAUUGGUCAAUGGGCGCUAGCCUGAACCAGCCAAGUAGCGUGAAGGGUGAAGGCUCUAUGGGUCGUAAACUUCUUUUAUAUAAGAAUAAAGUGCAGUAUGUAUACUGUUUUGUAUGUAUUAUAUGAAUAAGGAUCGGCUAACUCCGUGCCAGCAGCCGCGGUAAUCUGAGCGGGCUGGCAAGGC
Molecule: ribosomal RNA, 216 nt
Filed under: uncultured bacterium
Lineage: Bacteria
Description: partial 16S ribosomal RNA
Rfam family: Bacterial small subunit ribosomal RNA
Source: RNAcentral